GACGAACGCUGGCGGCGUGCCUAAUACAUGCAAGUAGAACGCUGAAGGAGGAGCUUGCUUCUCUGGAUGAGUUGCGAACGGGUGAGUAACGCGUAGGUAACCUGCCUGGUAGCGGGGGAUAACUAUUGGAAACGAUAGCUAAUACCGCAUAACAGUAGAUGUUGCAUGACAUUUGCUUAAAAGGUGCAAUUGCAUCACUACCAGAUGGACCUGCGUUGUAUUAGCUAGUUGGUGGGGUAACGGCUCACCAAGGCGACGAUACAUAGCCGACCUGAGAGGGUGAUCGGCCACACUGGGACUGAGACACGGCCCAGACUCCUACGGGAGGCAGCAGUAGGGAAUCUUCGGCAAUGGACGGAAGUCUGACCGAGCAACGCCGCGUGAGUGAAGAAGGUUUUCGGAUCGUAAAGCUCUGUUGUAAGAGAAGAACGAGUGUGAGAGUGGAAAGUUCACACAGUGACGGUAUCUACCAGAAAGG
Molecule: ribosomal RNA, 478 nt
Filed under: Streptococcus mitis
Lineage: Bacteria; Bacillati; Bacillota; Bacilli; Lactobacillales; Streptococcaceae
Description: bacterial SSU rRNA
Rfam family: Bacterial small subunit ribosomal RNA
Source: RNAcentral